This 104-nucleotide microRNA precursor is filed under the name Marmota monax (woodchuck). Lineage: Eukaryota; Metazoa; Chordata; Mammalia; Rodentia; Sciuridae. The record is from RNAcentral.
AGUGGGAUAGUUGGAUCAAAUGGUGGUUCCAUUCCAAGUUUUCUGAGGAAUCUCCACACUGCUUUCCAAAGUGGGUUGCACCAAUUUGCAGUCCCAGCAGCAGU